AUUGGUCUCAAUUACUCAUCUUAAAUAAAACUAAAAAAAAUGUUGCUUUGGCUAUUCUGUUCAUUAAUUAGACAUUUACUACUUGUCUAACUUAUUUAACAAAGUGUACCAACAAGAAGCUAAAAAAUGUUAAUCGGAAGAAGCAAAAGUUGAUGGCGUGGUACCAGUAAGAUGGUAUCGAUAUUAUCUAGUCUCAAUUUAGUUAGUCGCAGGUAAGUGUUUUAAAAGGUUUUACCGUUUAUUUUUAGACUAAUUUUUUAAUGUAUUGUGCUUGAAGAACGUUGUUUAUUACAUAUUAAAUUAAAAUAUUUAUUUUCAGACGAAAAAUAAAACCUGUAAACAAUUUCUCUCUAUAUUUACUUGUUUAAGUGCCAGUAAAACGAACGAUAGAAAAAAAGAAGCAUUCAGUAGGCUUGCAAUUUUUUUAUAUACUAUUAAAUAAUCUGAAUGAUUUUGUUGUUUUUAUUUAUUUGAAUGAUGAAAUUGUUUAUACAAAAGAUUGGCUUUUUAACUUUUAUGUUAAAUAUGUUACAUCCUUGUUAACUGUUGUCUGUCAUUAAGAAAGCAAUUUUAAAAAUACACAUAAUAUCAACAGAUUUAUCUUUAGAACUGUUUGCAAAAUUUUUGGCUUGGAUACAAAAAACCAAGUGAAAAUGAUACUGGAAAGACGGUUAACUGUUUGACUCCUGUCCCAAUCUAACCUCGUGGGUUUAAAAAGAAGAGACCGCGCUGGAAACAUGAGUGGAUUAAAAAUAUAAGCCCUUUUUGAAUUAUUAGUCGAAGUGGUAACCAGCUAGUAGUCGUAACCUGCUCGUAUGAAAAGAUUUCUCGACGUGAAAUUGUUAAUUUUAUUUAACAACGCCAAGAAACAGAGCUCGCUCAAGAAACAGAAAAGCAAGAGAAAUAUGAAAAAAUAUUCUGUUCAACAAUA
Hydra vulgaris (swiftwater hydra) is the source of this 931-nucleotide long non-coding RNA. RefSeq lists it as uncharacterized. The record is from RefSeq and is a predicted model, not a curated record. Lineage: Eukaryota; Metazoa; Cnidaria; Hydrozoa; Anthoathecata; Hydridae.